GUGCCAGCCGCCGCGGUAAUACCGGCAGCCCGAGUGAUGGCCGAUCUUAUUGGGCCUAAAGCGUCCGUAGCUGGCCGACCAAGUCUCCCGGGAAAUCCACCCGCCCAACGGGUGGGCGUCCGGUAGAAACUGGCCGGCUUGGAACCGGAAGGCUCAGAGAGUACGUCCGGGGUAGGAGUGAAAUCCCAUAAUCCCGCACGGACCACCGAUGGCGAAAGCACUUCGAGAAAACGGAUCCGACAGUGAGGGACGAAAGCCAGGGUCUCCAACCGGAUUAGAUACCCGGGUAGUCC
RNAcentral lists this ribosomal RNA (293 nucleotides) under uncultured bacterium. RNAcentral describes it as "partial 16S ribosomal RNA". It matches the Rfam family "Archaeal small subunit ribosomal RNA", at positions 455 to 747 of the family's 1478-position model. The record is from RNAcentral.